ACGGGAGCACCACAACAGGUGGAGCCUGCGGUUUAAUCGGACUCAACGCCGGGAAGCUCACCGGAUAAGACAGCGGAAUGAUAGCCGGGCUGAAGACUCUGCUUGACUAGCUGAGAGGAGGUGCAUGGCCGUCGUCAGUUCGUACUGUGAAGCAUCCUGUUAAGUCAGGCAACGAGCGAGACCCACGCCAACAGUUGCCAGCAUGUCCUCCGGGAUGGUGGGGACACUGUUGGGACCGCCUCUGCUAAAGAGGAGGAAGGAAUGGGCAACGGUAGGUCAGCAUGCCCCGAAUUAUCCGGGCUACACGCGGGCUACAAUGGUCAGGACAAUGGGCAUCAACACCGAAAGGUGAAGGCAAUCUCUUAAACCUGUCCUUAGUUCGGAUUGUGGGCUGCAACUCGCCCACAUGAGGUCGGAAUCGCUAGUAAUCGCGGAUCAGCACGCCGCGGUGAAUACGUUCCCGGGCCUU
RNAcentral lists this ribosomal RNA (469 nucleotides) under uncultured Methanolinea sp. RNAcentral describes it as "bacterial SSU rRNA". It matches the Rfam family "Archaeal small subunit ribosomal RNA", at positions 872 to 1337 of the family's 1478-position model. Lineage: Archaea; Methanobacteriati; Methanobacteriota; Methanomicrobia; Methanomicrobiales; Methanoregulaceae. The record is from RNAcentral.